Molecule: ribosomal RNA, 860 nt
Filed under: uncultured bacterium
Lineage: Bacteria
Description: bacterial SSU rRNA
Rfam family: Bacterial small subunit ribosomal RNA
Source: RNAcentral
CAGGCCUAACACAUGCAAGUCGCGGGAGAAACGUCCCUUCGGGGACAGAGUAAACCGGCGGACGGGUGAGUAACACGUGAGUAACAUACCGUUGAGACGGGGAUAACGAUCCGAAAGGGUUGCUAAUACCGGAUAAAACGACAGAGCCGGGAGGCUACUGUGGUCAAAGGUCCAAGCUACGCUCAACGAUUGGCUCGCGGCCCAUUAGGUAGAUGGUGAGGGUAACGGCCUACCAUGCCGACGAUGGGUAGCUGGUCUGAGAGGAUGAUCAGUCACACUGGGACUGAGACACGGCCCAGACUCCUACGGGAGGCAGCAGUGGGGAAUCUUGCACAAUGGGGGCAACCCUGAUGCGGCGACGCCGCGUGUGUGAAGAAGGCCUUCGGGUUGUAAAGCACUGUCAGGAGGGAAGAAACCGGGCGGGUCCCGUGUGACGGUACCUCCACAGGAAGCACCGGCCAACUCCGUGCCAGCAGCCGCGGUAAUACGGAGGGUGCAAGCGUUGUUCGGAAUCAUUGGGCGUAAAGCGUAGGUAGGCGGCCAGGCAAGUCUGGUGUGAAAGCCCAGAGCUCAACUCUGGAGGCGCAUUGGAAACUGUUUGGCUUGAGUCCGGGAAGGGCCAGUGGAGUUCGUGGUGUAGGGGUGAAAUCCGUAGAUAUCACGAAGUACACCGGCGGCGAAAGCGACUGGCUGGACCGGAACUGACGCUCAGCUACGAAUGCGUAGGUAGCGAACAGGAUUAGAUACCCUGGUAGUCUACGCUGUAAUCGAUGUUCACUAGCCGUUGCGUGGUUAAAUGCGCAGUGGUGCAGUUAACGCGCUAAGUGAACCGCCUGGGGAGUCGGCCGCAAGGUUAAAAC